Molecule: unclassified non-coding RNA, 240 nt
Filed under: uncultured Xenopolyscytalum
Lineage: Eukaryota; Fungi; Ascomycota; Leotiomycetes; Helotiales
Description: partial contains 5.8S ribosomal RNA, internal transcribed spacer 2, and large subunit ribosomal RNA
Rfam family: 5.8S ribosomal RNA (bases 1-52)
Source: RNAcentral
AACGCACAUUGCGCCCUGUGGUAUUCCGCAGGGCAUGCCUGUUCGAGCGUCAGUACAACACUCAAGCUCUGCUUGGUAUUGGGCCCUGCCAGCAACGGCAGGCCUUAAAAUCAGUGGCGGCGCCACCUGGCUCUAAGCGUAGUAAUACUCCUCGCUACAGAGUCCUGGUGGAUGCCUGCCAGCAACCCCCAACUUUCUAAGUUUGGCCUCGGAUCAGGUAGGGAUACCCGCUGAACUUAA